This 299-nucleotide unclassified non-coding RNA is filed under the name plant metagenome. RNAcentral's name for it is "partial contains 5.8S ribosomal RNA, internal transcribed spacer 2, and large subunit ribosomal RNA". The stretch from base 1 to 105 matches the Rfam family "5.8S ribosomal RNA", at positions 50 to 154 of the family's 154-position model. The record is from RNAcentral.
GAAAUGCGAUAAGUAAUGUGAAUUGCAGAAUUCAGUGAAUCAUCGAAUCUUUGAACGCACAUUGCGCCCCCUGGCAUUCCGGGGGGCAUGCCUGUUCGAGCGUCAUUACACCACUCAAGCCUGGCUUGGUAUUGAGCGCCGCGGCCUGCCCGCGCACUCCAAUGUCUCCGGCUGAGCCGUCCGUCUCUAAGCGUUGUGAAUAGCGAUCGCUUGCGAGGCCCGGGCGGUUCGACGCCGUUAAACCCCCCAUUUUCUAUGGUUGACCUCGGAUCAGGUAGGGAUACCCGCUGAACUUAAGC